GGGUUUCAACUGCCACCUGGGAGACUGCUGGUAAAGAUGGGAGGUGGCCUUUGCCGCUUUCCAUCUUCUCACUGCAGUUUCUUCACGUGGGCCACUUGUACUUAAAAUGUCUUCUUAAUUUAUUCUUUUUACUUCCCCAGCUCCAAUUUGUCUACAGAUUUACAAAUUUGUUUUAUAGUUUUAUGACUCAAUUUGUAUUUUCGGUCCUAUGAAGCUUUUUGCCUUAAAUAUUUUUCUCUGUUUAUAAGAAUGUGCUGUUUCCUAGGCCAGUUUUGUACACACUCUUCCAUAGAAUAGAUCCAGAAGAAACACAACAAUACUGCCUUCAUCAUAUCAGGAGAUCUUGAUACCAAAUACGAGUGUUGCCUCCAAGAUGCAAGAUCCUGAGGGCUCCAAAGAAUCCACUGUCCGUCACAAAUCGACGGUCCGCCAGCUCAGUUUCAGAGACGUGGUGCUCCGCUGCAGGCCUCAUCCUCAGGUGCACCCUGGCAGUCAGCCAUCUGAAGGUACUAUGGAAAUUCAGUUACUCACUCUUGGGAGCAGAAGGAUUCCAGACCAUUCCUGUGUGCACCCUGGCAGGGAGCCAUCUGAAGAUUUCAGGGACCACCUGGAGGGGAGCGGACCAGAGAGACUUCCUCGGAAUAGGCUGUGGCUCUUCACAAGGUGUCUUCUAUGCUUUAUUUGGGAGCCAUUGCCUUGAGCGUUAUUUCCCAGAUGGUUUUCUAAUGUCACCAACUGAAGAAAAGACCCAUGCACACAGGACACAGCAUGAUCUGAUGCUCACAGCGUUUUCCUUCCUCUCUGAAAACGGACUCAGCGAUUCUGGCAAGCGAGGCUGUCUGAAGAAGGUAUUCAUCAUCUCUGUUUUACCUGACCCAGAAACCAUUCUGCUAGGAAAAACAGUGGGCAUUGCUUGAAAACAGUGUUCUGUGGUUGAAAAACCCACAGUCACCUUGGGCUGGUGGGAAUGUAAAAUGGCGCCUCUUCUGGAUCAUCGUUUGGCAGUUUCUCAAAAGGUCAAACGUAGAAUCACUAUUUGAUCCAACAAUUCUACUCCUAGGUAUAUCCCCAAAAGAAUUGAAAACAAGGAUGCAAACAUAUGCGUGUACACUAAUGUUUAUAGAAAAAAUAUUCACAAUAAUCAAAAGGCAGAAACAACCCAAGUGUCCAAUAACAGAAGAAUGAAUAAACAGUGUGAUAUAAACAUAAA
Homo sapiens (human) is the source of this 1210-nucleotide long non-coding RNA. Ensembl annotates it as long intergenic non-protein coding RNA 1120. The record is from Ensembl. Lineage: Eukaryota; Metazoa; Chordata; Mammalia; Primates; Hominidae.